Non-coding RNA from Cucurbita pepo subsp. pepo (vegetable marrow), 1663 nucleotides. The record is from RefSeq and is a predicted model, not a curated record. Lineage: Eukaryota; Viridiplantae; Streptophyta; Magnoliopsida; Cucurbitales; Cucurbitaceae.
UUCUUACAAUCUCCUUAUGAGAUCAGCUUCCCCUUCUUCUUUCACUACUUGGGCGUUGUUAUUUCUGUAAGUUCGUUCUCCAUUUUUGAAGUUCUUAGCUUCUUCCAAUUGCCAAUUUGUGAAUGAUUUUCUUUGGGAUUACCUACUUGUAUUAUGGAUCAUGAAACACUGCCCGGAAAUUUCCGUUCCAUCAAAAUUGGGCUCUGAUUACGCGGGCUAGUUAGGGUUUGGGAUGAAUUAUUGAGAGAAGUAUUCAACGGCCGCAUUGCGGUGGUCGUUUUCAAAUUCCAUACUUUCUUGCGUUGCGGAUAUUGGACAUUGCGUAAUGCCCACCAACUGUUCGAUGAAAUUCCUCUAUGAAAUGCUCAAGGAUCAACUGUUUCGUUGGAUUAUUAUGGAUUUGUUUCGAUAACAUGGCCUUCUCGAGGAUCAACUGUUUCAUUGGAUCAUUAUGGAUUCGUUCGAUAACAUGACCUUGAUCAACUGUUUCGUUGGAUCAUUAUGGAUUCGUUUCAAUAACAUGACCUUGUGAGUACUAUGAAUUUAAAUUUCCCUUCUACUCAACGGAGUUCAUCCUUUUUCCUAGUCUAGUAUUUUACAGGAAACCGAGUUAUUUCUUAUCUUGGAUAUGCUUUUACAUUUGUAAAAGCAUAUCCAAGUUGCAUUCCUUGCAUUUGUGUUCAAUGAAUAUGAUCGUUUUCCAUCUUAUGCAUCAAAUUGUAUAAUCAAACUCGCAGGGCUUGUUAUGCCACUAAGAGCUUAUUAGAAUAGUAGAGUUGUUGACUUAAGUAUACCUUAGUAGUUAGGUAUUUAAUAUCUCCCCUAGUUCCUAUGAAUUUUAGUUUUGAAUCCUUCCUCUUUUGUAACGUAACAUUGUGAAAGAAAAGUUGGGUAUUUUUUUCGACUACUUCGGUGCCACGAGAGGGAAUAAUUAUUUGGAAAGUUAGAACAACGUAGCCGAAGAUUUUAUACCGUUGGAUGUUAGAGAGAGAAACAAAAAACUAUCGGAUAAUUAUGCAUCAAAGGUUUAGAAACACAUUGUUUUUGUUUUUUGGAGCAUUAAUUUUGGACCCAUUUGGUAACGUUUUUGUUUUUGUUUCUUGUUUUCUAUCGCUCGUCACUCUUUUUUAAUAAAAGAAAUGAAUAUCCAAAAUUUUAGUGUUAUAUUUAUUAUGCAUUUUAGAAGUAAUAAAAUGAUAAAAUAAUACUUUUAUUUAUAUUUUGAAAGAAAAAAAAAAAAAAAACUAGAUUUUUUAGUUGUUUUAAGAUUUUCACGCAUCGAGUGAGAGACUAGAAACAAGAACAGGUAUCAGUUUUUCAAAAACACACGAAGACUUCUAUGUGUAAUGUUUUGAUGCAUUUGUUUCCCUUUGAUUCUAUUCAUUACAUUUUUCAAAAACACACGAAGACUUCUAUGUGUAAUGUUUUGAUGCAUUUGUUUCCCUUUGAUUCUAUUCAUUACAUUAACAUUCCUCGGCCCCUCGAAAUCUCUUAAUCAUUAAAUCAAGUUUUACUCUCAUCAUUGGUUGGAAGAAAACGGUUUCUAAAGAUCUCGUGAACAUUAGAUUUACCAUUCCUUUAUAAGAUUCUACAUCAUUUGAACUUUAUAUAUCAGUUUUACGUGUUAUGGUUAGUAUCAAAAGUACUUCACACGAACAUCAAA